AGAGUUUGAUCCUGGCUCAGAGUGAACGCUGGCGGCGUGCCUAAUACAUGCAAGUCGAACGGACAAGUAAGAGCUUGCUCUUAUGAGUUAGUGGCGCACGGGUGAGUAAUGUAUAGUUAAUCUGCCCUACACUGGAGGACAACAGUUAGAAAUGACUGCUAAUACUCCAUACUCCUUCUUAACACAAGUUAAGUCGGGAAAGUUUUUUCUGUGUAGGAUGAGACUAUAUUGUAUCAGCUAGUUGGUGAGGUAAUGGCUCACCAAGGCUAUGACGCAUAACUGGUCUGAGAGGAUGAUCAGUCACACUGGAACUGAGACACGGUCCAGACUCCUACGGGAGGCAGCAGUAGGGAAUAUUGCUCAAUGGGGGAAACCCUGAAGCAGCAACGCCGCGUGGAGGAUGACACUUUUCGGAGCGUAAACUCCUUUUGUUAGGGAAGAACAAUGACGGUACCUAACGAAUAAGCACCGGCUAACUCCGUGCCAGCAGCCGCGGUAAUACGGAGGGUGCAAGCGUUACUCGGAAUCACUGGGCGUAAAGGACGCGUAGGCGGAUUAUCAAGUCUUUUGUGAAAUCUAAUGGCUCAACCAUUAAACUGCUUGAGAAACUGAUAAUCUAGAGUGAGGGAGAGGCAGAUGGAAUUGGUGGUGUAGGGGUAAAAUCCGUAGAGAUCACCAGGAAUACCCAUUGCGAAGGCGAUCUGCUGGAACUUAACUGACGCUAAUGCGUGAAAGCGUGGGGAGCAAACAGGAUUAGAUACCCUGGUAGUCCACGCCCUAAACGAUGUAUACUAGUUGUUGCUGUGCUAGUCAUGGCAGUAAUGCACCUAACGGAUUAAGUAUACCGCCUGGGGAGUACGGUCGCAAGAUUAAAACUCAAAGGAAUAGACGGGGACCCGCACAAGCGGUGGAGCAUGUGGUUUAAUUCGAAGAUACGCGAAGAACCUUACCUGGGCUUGAUAUCCUAAGAACCUUGUAGAGAUACGAGGGUGCUAGCUUGCUAGAACUUAGUGACAGGUGCUGCACGGCUGUCGUCAGCUCGUGUCGUGAGAUGUUCGGUUAAGUCCGGCAACGAGCGCAACCCACGUAUUUAGUUGCUAACAGUUCGGCUGAGCACUCUAAAUAUACUGCCUUCGUAAGGAGGAGGAAGGUGUGGACGACGUCAAGUCAUCAUGGCCCUUAUGCCCAGGGCGACACACGUGCUACAAUGGCAUAUACAAUGAGACGCAAUAUCGCGAGAUGGAGCAAAUCUAUAAAAUAUGUCCCAGUUCGGAUUGUUCUCUGCAACUCGAGAGCAUGAAGCCGGAAUCGCUAGUAAUCGUAGAUCAGCCAUGCUACGGUGAAUACGUUCCCGGGUCUUGUACUCACCGCCCGUCA
This 1377-nucleotide ribosomal RNA is filed under the name uncultured bacterium. RNAcentral's name for it is "bacterial SSU rRNA". It matches the Rfam family "Bacterial small subunit ribosomal RNA". The record is from RNAcentral.